This 448-nucleotide ribosomal RNA is filed under the name uncultured bacterium. RNAcentral's name for it is "SSU rRNA". It matches the Rfam family "Bacterial small subunit ribosomal RNA", at positions 26 to 518 of the family's 1533-position model. The record is from RNAcentral.
AGAACGAACGCUGGCGGCAGGCUUAACACAUGCAAGUCGAACGGCUGUAGCAAUACAGCAGUGGCAGACGGGUGAGUAACACGUGGGAACCUUCCUCGGGGUACGGAACAACUCAGGGAAACUUGAGCUAAUACCGUAUACGUCCGCAAGGAGAAAGAUUUAUCGCCCUGAGACGGGCCCGCGUCGGAUUAGGUAGUUGGUGGGGUAACGGCCUACCAAGCCUACGAUCCGUAGCUGAUCUGAGAGGAUGAUCAGCCACACUGGGACUGAGACACGGCCCAGACUCCUACGGGAGGCAGCAGUGGGGAAUCUUGGACAAUGGGCGCAAGCCUGAUCCAGCCAUGCCGCGUGAGUGAAGAAGGCCUUAGGGUUGUAAAGCUCUUUUACCAGGGACGAUAAUGACGGUACCUGGAGAAUAAGCCCCGGCAAACUUCGUGCCAGCAGCCGC